RNAcentral lists this microRNA precursor (76 nucleotides) under Myotis lucifugus (little brown bat). RNAcentral describes it as "mir-9229 microRNA precursor family". It matches the Rfam family "mir-9229 microRNA precursor family". The record is from Rfam by way of RNAcentral. Lineage: Eukaryota; Metazoa; Chordata; Mammalia; Chiroptera; Vespertilionidae.
GAGACAUCCUUUUGGGGCAAGACUUGCUUCAGUGGGGCUUUGGUGCUCACUGAGUCUGCCUCCUGAGUGUGUCCCU